This 492-nucleotide ribosomal RNA is filed under the name uncultured bacterium. RNAcentral describes it as "partial 16S ribosomal RNA". It matches the Rfam family "Bacterial small subunit ribosomal RNA", at positions 29 to 507 of the family's 1533-position model. The record is from RNAcentral.
AGUGAACGCUGGCGGUAGGCCUAACACAUGCAAGUCGAACGGCAGCACAGUAAGAGCUUGCUCUUACGGGUGGCGAGUGGCGGACGGGUGAGGAAUACAUCGGAAUCUACUUUUUCGUGGGGGAUAACGUAGGGAAACUUACGCUAAUACCGCAUACGACCUACGGGUGAAAGCAGGGGCUCUUCGGACCUUGCGCGAUUGAAUGAGCCGAUGUCGGAUUAGCUAGUUGGCGGGGUAAAGGCCCACCAAGGCGACGAUCCGUAGCUGGUCUGAGAGGAUGAUCAGCCACACUGGAACUGAGACACGGUCCAGACUCCUACGGGAGGCAGCAGUGGGGAAUAUUGGACAAUGGGCGCAAGCCUGAUCCAGCCAUACCGCGUGGGUGAAGAAGGCCUUCGGGUUGUAAAGCCCUUCUGUUGGGAAAGAAAAGCAGCAGGUUAAUACCCCGCUGUUCUGACGGUACCCAAAGAAUAAGCACCGGCUAACUUCGUG